Molecule: long non-coding RNA, 9541 nt
Filed under: Eucalyptus grandis
Lineage: Eukaryota; Viridiplantae; Streptophyta; Magnoliopsida; Myrtales; Myrtaceae
Description: long non-coding RNA (EGRA_LNC002365)
Source: RNAcentral
GUUUUAGAAUUUGAAUGUACUUUUUAAAAGUUUUAAUACUUGAUUGCAUUUUUGUGAUAAGUUUUAAAAUCAGUACUUAUCGUUUAAAUUAUCUUUAUUGCUUAAGUUUCUAAACAGGAUUAGCUAAAACUCAUCUUCGUUUAACUGUGAUUAUUGUGUUUAGGAAGGUAAAGGCGUUUCUCCAACAAAAUGGGGCGCAGGAGGGGAAGUCGCCGUCAGUUUACUUACAAGCGCAAGGCCUUCCACCGAGGAUCAAAAUGUAUGUAAAAGCCAAAUUGGGUGAGUUGAACAACAGCGACCCUGGAAACAGUAAGGAAAAAACGGGUAUGUUUUUUUUUUUUUUUUUUUUUUUUUUUUCUCUCUAUAACAGCCACAUCUAAUUGACCUUUUACUUUCUUUUUUUGUUUUUUACAUAAUCAAAUUUCACGAUGCACACACUUUUACUUCUUGCUAAUCCAACUUUUCAACAUGCAAAUGUUGGUUGGUAAUUUUGCACAUAAUUUUUGCAUGAUUUUUUGAAAUAUGAAUGAUAUAUAUAUAUAUAUAUAUAUAUAUAUAUAUAUUUCAGCUUUGCUUAAUAUGUACGUAAGUAUUACCAUGAAUAAAUCCUGCAGAAACAAAAAAGAAAACCAUGCAGAAUUUUUCCAAGAUUUUUUUAUAAAUGAAUAUCGUUCUUAUUUUAAGGAAAAAUUUCGAGUGGCUUUUCGGGAAGGGCUCAAAGCCCAUCUAUAUGACGACCCAACUUUGAGUAUUUUAGCAACAGUCUAGAUAAGCAUUUGAAUAUCUUCUAUUGAAAAAAACAUAAUACUAUCUCUGUUCAUCGGUCCAAAUUGAGGAUGAGUAUGCUAAUAGGAGAUGGCUUCAUCUAUAUUAUUUAACAAGGGUUAGUAAUAGAAAAAACUUUAAACUAGUCCAUUUAUAGCUAAUUUACCCCAAAUUAAUUUUUAGGUUAUCAAAAACCCCAGAUGUAUGGAUUUAUCCGUGGACUUGUUAUGUCAAUUGAGUAAUUGCCAUGUGUCAUAUAACUUAGCAAUUUCAUAGAUAAAUCUGACGGAAGUUAUUAUAGGGUAAAUAUGUCACAAAUUUACCAGUUUGGAGUUUUUUUCUGAUUAAAUAAUUAGUUUUUGUGUAAAUUUAUUAUAAGUAUAUCAAUUAAGAAUUUUUCGUUAUAUUAAUCCUUAAAAGAAGGAACUAAUAAGUAUUUUUUUUUUUUGUGGGCAUUAUAGUUAGCGAUUGCCUAUCUAUCUGCCAAAAAUUACAACUGCGGUCUUCCAAUUUUUAUGCCGCGAGGUGGAUCUCGAGAAACCGGAUGGAGGGUUCAACAAGAAAGAACUGGUAUUUGCAGUCGAAAUGCUCGUCACAUUAGAUGUUGCCAGGUGUAAUGAACUGGUUUGAUGACAUUGGUUCCCCCAAGACCAUGGGAAUAUUGUCUUCUAGACUUGAAUUUCUAAUCUGAUUACUGGAUGGAGUGUUUAAUGUACCCAAAUUCCAGAUUUGUGUAUGGAAGAUGCCUAGUAUGUCCACCAUCUUGUGGAAUCGUCAUUUCAUUGAGCUUGCUUAUAAUAAAAUCCGUAGCUAUUGCUUAUAAUAAAAUCCCUGUGAGCCAUUUUAUAGUUUGCAUGCCUGCUGUCUAACAUGGCUGCUCAUAGGUCUCUCGCUGUGAGUGUUUUUUUGGAAAGGCAGUAGGGUUCCAACGGUAGGGAUCCCCAAGGUAGAGUGGUAGAGGUUGUUCCCCUAUAGCCAUUUACAGUUCGCAAGGAUUUGCAGCACUUCACCUCUAUGUGAGCCAAAGGUGAGCUUGUCCCUCGCUUGUGGUCGGUCACUAGCCGAGGAAUAAGGAAAACAAAAGCAAAGAAAUAGUAAAAAAUUCGUUUUUUUGAUAAUUUUUUCUUGAAAAGUCUAUUUUCCUUAUCAAAUGGUGAAAAAUAUUUUCUAAUUUAUUUUUAAGUUUUACUUGAAAACUAAAAAAUAUUAUCAUUUUCCAAGAAAAUGAUUUCUUGAAAAACAUUUUCUAGAAAUGUAUUAUUUUUUUUUCCGAAAUGAAUGGAGCCUAAGAAAGGAUUGUUCACAUAUUCCUAGUUUCGAAAUCAGAUGCAUCGAUUAAUCUAUGAAGGGAUUAGUCCAUCAAUUGAUGCUUUCUACCUUUUUUGGUCAUAAUGGCGUUUUCUCAUUCACACCAAAAUUUUCGAAAAAUUGUCUAAAAAGUCCUAAAUCUAUUGUAUUUUUAUUAAUUCAGUCCUAAACUUUUUAAUUUAACCAACUCAAUCCUAAACCUUUUCAUUUUUUUGUCAAUUCAGUCCAUUCGGUCAAUAUUGACUGAAAAUCAUUGACAUGGAUGUCGGCCAUCCUACAUGGCACAACUAAUACUGGCGUGGGCAAUUUUUAAUAAUAUCUUAAUAUUUUUCUGAUUAUUUAUUAUGUAUUAAUUUUUUCAUUUUCCUUUUUGCUAUUCUCCUUUUCUUCUUUUUCUUUUUCCUUUCCGUUUUUCCCUUCACCAACCAUUGGUGGAUCUUGUCAAUAGCUAACAGAGGUCAUUGGCCUUAGGCGAGGGCCACUCUAGUCUCUUGGGUGAGGAACGUGUGGGCUUGGGCUAGCCAUGGCACCCCUCGCAUAGGCGAGGCUUGGGAGGGCGACCCUCACCCUCACCGGCCCAAGCCUAGGCAUUCCUCACUUCAAGCUGGUGGUGGAAAAAAGAAAAGAAAAAAACAUGAAAGAAGGAAAAGAGAAAAAAGGGAAAAAAAUUGAACAAAUAUUUAAAUAUUAUUUCAAAUUGUCAACUUCAAUAAUGAUUGUCAUACAUGGCACGAUCAACCUCUACCUUAGUGUUUCUACCAAAAUUGGUUGGACGAACUCAAUUGGUAAAAAGAAAAAAUGUGCUUUAUUAAGCUAGCAAAAUUGAAAAGUUUAAGUGCAAUAGAUUUAGGAUUUUUUGGAUAAUUUUCUCUCAAAAUUUUUUUGUUCCUAUAUUAUUAUGUUUGACUUGUGAGAUUUCUAAUAUAGCCACAUGUUCUUAGCCCUGAUACCACAUAGUAAGACUUUUUGUAAAAUCAAGGAUUAAUACCCUAAAAAAUCCCAAAUUACUACACAUAUAAUAAAUUUAUCCCAAACUAAUUUUUUGACCACCAACAACCCAAACUGAUACACCUUUAACAAAUUUACCCCAAAUUGAUACAAUUGUGACAAAUUUACCCUCUAUUAGUUUCCGUUAAAUCUUACUGUCAAAUUAUUAAGUUAAAUGACACGUGACAGUUGUCUAGUGUACCAGUUUGAGAUUUUACUCUCCGUUUGUUACAGUUAUACAAUUUUUGUGAUUUUUUGUAGUAUUAAUCUAAUUUAACGGAUGAUAUAUUUGUCAUUGGGGGUUUUUUUACAGUUGUAUAAAUUAGUUUGGGAUAAUUUUGUUACAAGUAUAUUAAUUUAGGGUUUUUAAUGGUCAGUUGGGGUAAAUUUAUCACAGGUGUACUAGUUUAGGGUUUUUCAUGGUUAUAAAAAAAGUAUGGGGUAAAUUUGUCAUACGUGUACCAGUUUGAGGUUUUUCAGGAUAUUAACCCUAAAAUCAAAUUAAUAAUAAGAUACUAAGGAAUAGAGAGUCCGAUGCUGACUUGGAAAUGAAUACCACAUAGGUAGGAUUAGCUAAUAUUGAUUUGAGAACGAUUUACAAAUGAAUAACCAGCCUACGAGGCAAAUAAAAAAGCUGGCUUGGACACUUUUCAAUGUAGGAAUUAUAGGUCCAUCUUUCUAUCAAUAUACAUUUAAGCUUGUGAUUCAACAUCCAAUCUUGGGCCAGAAAUGCAGGAGAACGAUAUAUCACCAUACUGCAAAAUAUGCAUAAUUCUUGUACUUCUCAUGCAUCGAUUAGAGAUUUAUUACCAAAAUAUGCUUAAUAUUUAGAGAUGCAAAAUUAGAUUUGAUAGAAUUAGAGAUUUGCUAAAUUGAUCAUCAAAAGCAAAUUACUAUAUAAGGCUCGUACGUAACUAUUCCAUGUGGUUCAAUUUCGUGUAAGCUUUAGCCACUAUAUAUAACUUAAACCUUUAUUACCAAAAUAUGCAUAAUUCUUUUGCUUCUUUUACAUCGAUUAGAAAUUUGUCAUUAAAAUAUGUAUAAGAACUAGAGAUGCAGAAUUAGACAUUUGCUAAGGUUGGAGAUUUAUCAAAGUAAUCAUCAAAAGUAAAUUACUGAAUAAAGCUUGGAUUGAGUAUGCCAUGUGGCUCAAUCUUGCGCACGACAUAUGUAUGUGUGGGGGAUAGUUGAAGAGAUGGAUUAGAUGAUAAAAUUGCACGUGGUGAGAUCUGGGGUAGAUGUUCUUAAUUGAGGGCUUAAUUCCCUUGAAGUCAAAUUUUGAAGGCAAUUAUUUUGCCUUCAAAAAGAAUAAAGAAAAAUUUAAUUUUAUAUCAAAAUAUAAGCGUCUUUACAAAUGUGGAACGUUCGGCAUCAAAUAAAAGUCAAAUUUUAAAGGCAAGCAAGCUCCAAAUAAUACAACUUUUUUUUUUCUUUUAUGUAGAUUUCGUUGAAUACUUCAUCAGGAAGUAAAGAACAUUCUAUGCAUAAAAUUUUCUAUUUUGCUAUUUGCUAUUUUGCAAAGCUCAAGAAGAAAUAUUAGGAGAAUAAAUGGUUAAUACCUUGAAAAACCCAAAAUUGGUACAUUUAUGACAAAUUUACCAUAAACUAAUUUUUUGAUCAUGAAAAAUCUCCAAACUAGUACACAUUUGACAAAUUUACCCCAAAUUGGUAUAUUUAUGACAAAUUUACCCUAUGUUAGUUUUCAUUAAAUUUUACUAUCAAAUAAUUAAGUUGAAUGACACGUGAUAAUUGACUGGUGUAAUAAUUUGUAAUUUUACUUUCCGUUUGUCAUAUUUAUACAAUUUUUGUGAAUUUUUUGUGGUAUGAAUCCAAUUUAACGGAAGGUAUAUUUGUUACAAACGUAUCAGUUUAUAGUUUUUGGCAGUUGAAUAAAUUAGUUUUGGGUAAAUUGGUAAGCAGUAUAUCAGUUUGGGGCUUUUUAUGGUUAGUUGUGGUAAAUUUGUCAUAUGUGUAUUAAUUUGGGGUUUUUCAGGGUAUUAACAAAAAAAUGUAUUAACUCAAAAAAAAAAAAAAAAAGAAUCCUGCUCAAUAAUUGCUUUUUGUACUAGAGGAAAGAGCAAUGCAGUUUCAUGGUAUCUUCUCAUUAGUCGCCUAGCCACUUUAGCAGGAAAAAUGCCAAAGUAGACUUGUACAAUUUGACCAAGCGUAAUGCAUAGAGACAAACAAUUAUAUAGGGCGGUUUUCGGAAAAUAUCGAGGUGCAGACAUCUCAAGUGUCGCAACUUGACACAGGUAAAUAUAUAAGUGCCAAAACUUUCAAAAUGUACACUUAAGCACCAAAAUCCAAGAAGAAAGGAAAAUUUAAAUGCCAACAGUGAGAAUUUCCGGCUAAAUAACUGACGUAGCAUUUUUCGACGAGAAUUUUAAAUAAUGUGGCAUUUCUUUUAAUAAAAAUUAUCCAUGUGGUGCUAAUGUGGCUAGAUAAGUCCAAAACGAUGUCAUUUUGGUUGAAAUUUGAUUUUAAUAUAAACAUUAAUUAAAUUAAAUUAAAAAACUAUAUCAAAAAAGAAGAAGGGAAAUUAGCGAGGGCCUCCACGGCCAUCACCACCACCACACCAUCAUCGUCAGAAAGGGCCAGUGAUGGUGGGAUGAAGACCUCAGUCAAUCACUGGCAACCUUAUUUAACUGGAAGUGAGGGCUACAUGGCCUCACCCAAUUCUGAGGGGAGGGCUGCACCUCCCCCUAUUGAGCAAGGGUUGUCGCCCUCGUCAGAGGGGCCAAGGGUAGCCAUUGGUAGGGUUGGGCGGUGACCUCUCGCCCCACCUAGGGGCACCCUUUGACCUGAUUUGGGCGAGGGCUAGUGACCCUUGCUCGAUCUGGGGGAAAGCUGUGGCCCCUUACCCCCAAUUGCUUGCUAUUAACUAGGGUCAUUAGCCAUUGGCUGGGGCCCUUGCCCCAUCGUUGUUGGCCCUUAUUAGUGAUAGUCGGGUGGCAGCAACGAGGGUUGUAGACAGCCCUCGUUGAUUUGCUUUUUAAUUUUAAUAUUAAUUUUUAAAAGUUAGUUUUCAAAUUUAAUUUAAUUAAUAUUUAUAUUAAAAAUCAAAUUUGGACCAAAACGGCAUCAUUUUGAGACAAGGGUUGGUAAGUAUACAUUUUAGCAAGCCACAUAGACGGAUUUAUUAAUAAAAUAACGUCACGUCAGAUUUCUAGCAAGCCUCAUUAGAGUUGGCACUCAAGAAUCUAAUUAAAAAAAAAAACACUUAAGUUUACCUUUGAAAGUUUUGGCACUUUUGUGUUAAUCCGUGCCAAUUUUUAACACUAAGGGUGUACUGUUUCUAGAAAAUAUCUUAAAAGAGAGAGGGGUCGUAGAUUAGGAUGGGUACGAUACAAACUAGAAAUUUCAAAAGUGAAAUACAGAAAAACUUUUGAGGUUGGGUCAAAGUAUGCCCAAAGAUAAGUUGAUCGAUUCAAAAUAACAAGAAAAGAAACUCAUAAUGUGAGUUAUUCCACUUAAAAUAGAGGAAUGGAAGGAACAAGAGAAAGAAUAUGCAUCUCGCGAUGCCCCCCAGCACGAGACUAUUUUCCCCUUGAAGUGUAAGGCGAGGUAACUUGUGAGAUGGGGACAAGAGUCCUUUAGCAGCUGCCACAGGCAAUAUCCUUAUAAUCCCCCCAGGCGACGAAUGUUGGCUGUGGACGAGUUGCCCUUCAUGGAGAAGUUACUCGAGGAAGAAGGAGAUGGAAGAAAAAGAAAAGGAAGAGACAAAAACAUGUCAACCACAGUUUCCUCCUUGAAGUGUAGGGCAAGGUAAUUCACGAGAUGGAGAUAAGAAUCCUCUUACGGUUGCCACAGACAAUGUCCUUUUCACCACCACAAGCAAUAAAUGUUGGGCGUCGAUGAUUCACCCUUCAUGGAGAAGUUACUUGAGGAAGAAGAAGAUGAAAGAAAAAGAAAAGGAAGAGAAAAAAACAUGUCAACCACAGUUUACCCCUUGAAGUGUAGGGCAAGGCAAUUCAAGGAACAAGGAUAGGAGUCCUCCUGCGGUUGCCACAAGUAAUGUCCUUUUAACCACCGUAGGCAAUAAAUGUUGGCUAUUGAUGAGUCAGCUUUCAUAGAGAAGUUACUUGGGGAAGAAGGAGAUGGAAGAAAAAGAAAAGGAAGAAAAAAACAUGUCAUCCACUGUUUCCCCCUUGAAGUGUAAGGCAAGACAAUUCAAGAGACGAGGAUAAGAGUCCUCCUGUGGCUGCCACAGGUAAUGCCCUUUUAACCACCACAGGCAAUAAAUGGUAGCUAUUGACGAGUCACCUUUCAUGGAGAAGUCACUUGAGGAAGAAGGAGAUGGAAGAAAAAGAAAAGGAUGAGACAAGGACAUGUCAACCAUAGCUUCCCCCUGAAGUGUAGGGUAAGGCAAUUUAAGAGAUGAGGACGGGAGUCCUCUUGCGGCUGCCACAGGCAAUGUCCUUUUAACCACCACAUGAAAUCAGCCUUGGCCAUUAAUGAGUCACCCUUCGUGGAGAAGUUACUUGAGGAAGAAGAAGAUGGAAGAAAAAGAAAAGGAAGAGACAAAAGCAUGUCAACCAUAAUUUCUCCCAUGAAAUGUAUGGUAGGGCAAUUCAAGGGAUAGGGACAUGAGUCCUCUUGUGGCUGCCACAGGCAAUGCCCUUUUAAGUACCACAGGCAAUAAAUGUUGGCCAACGAGUUAUCCUUCGUGGAGAAGUUACUUGAGGAAGAAGGGAAGGAAAAAAGAGAAGAAAAAAUACAUUAACCAUUAAAAGUAAAAGGUACUAAUAUGUUUUUUUCUAGAAAAAAAAAUAAAUGUAAUUUACCUUUCAAAUUAAAAGAACAUUUCAUACUAUAUCUACAUAUAUUUCCCAACUAAUUAGACACGACGGGACAUCAAAAUUAAAAUAUCAUCAUUUAAAGGCUUUUAUGCACCAUUCUUUGACAAUUUGAAGACAAAUACCGAUUAAUGACAUCCCACAUAUAACAUUUAGCAUCAAAGUUAAAUGAAUAACAUGUUUCACUAUUAAGAAGUUGUUUGGUUUAACUUUCCCACGAUAUCUUAGCUAUGUGCAUUGUAACUUUUAUAAGGUGCAAAUUCAUUAUAAUUGCAGUUCCUCUAAACUACAUAAACUUAUGGUAGCUUUUGGGAGGAAACCUCAUCCAAUUUUAAGAUGUUGCUACUUUAAAAUAUGUUUUACCAAGCACGUAAAUUACAAUACACUUCACAAUAUAGUUUAACAAAACACGGUUACAAUUCAAUCACAACUACAUUGUGCGGGCUUUAGUAGCCCAUUACCCAACUAUGCCAUGAAAUAGAGAAAUAGGGAAUGAUUUUAACCAACAAUUUUAAGAUGGAUCACACAAUUAUUGCUCCACUGGUAUACAUCUACACUUGCAAUUUGACUUCAAAUCCAAGGCCUGAAAUACACCUAUAAUUGAUCACACUAGAGAUCAAAACAAAACUAGGCCGAGUCUCGAGAUAAUCGCCACCAAAAUGUGGGCAUAUCCUGAGCAAUUCAUCCAUGUGGCUCGAUGACCCUUGAACCUCUCCUUCAAAAUCCCAUGACCCAGCACCCCUCCCAUGUCAACAUUUGUAGAAAUUAUGAUGGUCAGCGUUUGUCUUAAUGUUCCUCCUCUCUCUCUUUCGUAACUUUAAAUAAGUCAUUGGAACAUGUUAGAAUGAUCAUGCGAACAUCAAAGUCAUUCUUCUCACAAAUUGACACACUUUUACUUAUAUUUAUUAGAAAAAAACCUUUUGUAAUUACCGUAAAAUGACAUAAAUAAUCCAUAUUAAAUUUGAUGAUGUGAAUUUUCAAUCCUAAUUAGAGCGUAAAAAAGUCCUUUUGUUUUGUUUUGUUUUGUUUUGUUUUGUUUUGCUUUUUGUUUUUGGUCUAGGAUGCUUUGUGGAAUAAGGACGGAAAAAUCCCUUUCGCCGUAGAUAAAGCUUUGCGUUUAAAUUCACCUUGGGAAAGUAGAAAACAAUGUGUACAGAGUGCCCAAUGAUUUAGCUUGAAGGAGGACCCCUCAUUGAAUUGAAUUGUCCGCUGAUUAGUGGUUUGGUGGUCUUUUUUCCACGGAAAGGAGUUAUCAUGAAGGGUCAAUCGAUGGGCGCUUCGGCUUGUAGGAGGGAGGACCACUCAGCAUACUGAAUUGCCGCUCGUGAUUGACUGUACAGGAGGGAUGACUUCCUGGGAAAAGAGGUAUUGAAGUAUAACAGAAAAAGUCCUUCGCAUCUACACAGCUUCUAUAAAGGCUCCUCUGUGAGGCUGUUCAACAUAUAGCUCAAGCUGCUCAACCAAUACAUAUUACUUCACUCACUCUUUCUUGUCCUCCCUUAGAGAAUUAUUACCCAAUUUGUGCUCAUAAAAUGAGACAUUCGCGUCUCAAUUAUGCACAACUUCGUUGUUCUUGGCUUCUUUUUGCUGCCAUUUUGGUGUUAUGCUUUGCUAUGAUCGUUUCUACUACCAACGAUUCGGAUAGGCUUGCAUUGCUUGCAUUCAAGGCUGAAAUAACUAGCGAC